UCAAGUGAAGAAGCGCAUACGGUGGAUGCCUUGGCAGUCAGAGGCGAUGAAAGACGUGGUAGCCUGCGAAAAGCUUCGGGGAGUCGGCAAACAGACUGUGAUCCGGAGAUGUCUGAAUGGGGGAACCCAGCCAUCAUAAGAUGGUUAUCUUACACUGAAUACAUAGGUGUAAGAGGCGAACCAGGGGAACUGAAACAUCUAAGUACCCUGAGGAAAAGAAAUCAACCGAGAUUCCCUUAGUAGUGGCGAGCGAACGGGGACCAGCCCUUAAGUUGUAUUGAGAUUAGCGGAACGCUCUGGAAAGGGCGGCCAUAGUGGGUGAUAGCCCUGUACGCGAAAAUCCCUUUGCAAUGAAAUCGAGUAGGACGGGGCACGAGAAACCUUGUCUGAAUAUGGGGGGACCAUCCUCCAAGGCUAAAUACUACUGACUGACCGAUAGUGAACCAGUACCGUGAGGGAAAGGCGAAAAGAACCGCGGAGAGCGGAGUGAAAUAGAUCCUGAAACCGUAUGCGUACAAGCAGUGGGAGCCCACUUUGUUGGGUGACUGCGUACCUUUUGUAUAAUGGGUCAGCGACUUAUUUUCAGUGGCGAGCUUAACCGAAUAGGGGAGGCGUAGCGAAAGCGAGUCUUAAUAGGGCGUCUAGUCGCUGGGAAUAGACCCGAAACCGGGCGAUCUAUCCAUGGGCAGGUUGAAGGUUGGGUAACACUAACUGGAGGACCGAACCGACUACCGUUGAAAAGUUAGCGGAUGACCUGUGGAUCGGAGUGAAAGGCUAAUCAAGCUCGGAGAUAGCUGGUUCUCCUCGAAAGCUAUUUAGGUAGCGCCUCAUGUAUCACUGUAGGGGGUAGAGCACUGUUUCGGCUAGGGGGUCAUCCCGACUUACCAAACCGAUGCAAACUCCGAAUACCUACAAGUGCCGAGCAUGGGAGACACACGGCGGGUGCUAACGUCCGUCGUGAAAAGGGAAACAACCCAGACCGUCAGCUAAGGUCCCAAAGUCAUGGUUAAGUGGGAAACGAUGUGGGAAGGCUUAGACAGCUAGGAGGUUGGCUUAGAAGCAGCCACCCUUUAAAGAAAGCGUAAUAGCUCACUAGUCGAGUCGGCCUGCGCGGAAGAUGUAACGGGGCUCAAACCAUGCACCGAAGCUACGGGUAUCAUCUUUUGAUGAUGCGGUAGAGGAGCGUUCUGUAAGCCUGUGAAGGUGAGUUGAGAAGCUUGCUGGAGGUAUCAGAAGUGCGAAUGCUGACAUGAGUAACGACAAUGGGUGUGAAAAACACCCACGCCGAAAGACCAAGGUUUCCUGCGCAACGUUAAUCGACGCAGGGUUAGUCGGUCCCUAAGGCGAGGCUGAAAAGCGUAGUCGAUGGAAAACAGGUUAAUAUUCCUGUACUUCUGGUUAUUGCGAUGGAGGGACGGAGAAGGCUAGGCCAGCCUGGCGUUGGUAGUCCAGGUUUAAGGUGGUAGGCUGAGAUCUUAGGUAAAUCCGGGAUCUUAAGGCCGAGAGCUGAUGACGAGUGUUCUUUUAGAACAUGAAGUGGUUGAUGCCAUGCUUCCAAGAAAAGCUUCUAAGCUUCAGGUAACCAGGAACCGUACCCCAAACCGACACAGGUGGUUGGGUAGAGAAUACCAAGGCGCUUGAGAGAACUCGGGUGAAGGAACUAGGCAAAAUGGCACCGUAACUUCGGGAGAAGGUGCGCCGGUGAGGGUGAAGCAUUUACUGCGUAAGCCCACGCCGGUCGAAGAUACCAGGCCGCUGCGACUGUUUAUUAAAAACACAGCACUCUGCAAACACGAAAGUGGACGUAUAGGGUGUGACGCCUGCCCGGUGCCGGAAGGUUAAUUGAUGGGGUUAGCGCAAGCGAAGCUCUUGAUCGAAGCCCCGGUAAACGGCGGCCGUAACUAUAACGGUCCUAAGGUAGCGAAAUUCCUUGUCGGGUAAGUUCCGACCUGCACGAAUGGCGUAACGAUGGCGGCGCUGUCUCCACCCGAGACUCAGUGAAAUUGAAAUCGCUGUGAAGAUGCAGUGUAUCCGCGGCUAGACGGAAAGACCCCGUGAACCUUUACUAUAGCUUUGCACUGGACUUUGAAUUUGCUUGUGUAGGAUAGGUGGGAGGCUUUGAAGCGUGGACGCCAGUCUGCGUGGAGCCAACCUUGAAAUACCACCCUGGCAACUUUGAGGUUCUAACUCAGGUCCGUUAUCCGGAUCGAGGACAGUGUAUGGUGGGUAGUUUGACUGGGGCGGUCUCCUCCUAAAGAGUAACGGAGGAGUACGAAGGUGCGCUCAGACCGGUCGGAAAUCGGUCGUAGAGUAUAAAGGCAAAAGCGCGCUUGACUGCGAGACAGACACGUCGAGCAGGUACGAAAGUAGGUCUUAGUGAUCCGGUGGUUCUGUAUGGAAGGGCCAUCGCUCAACGGAUAAAAGGUACUCCGGGGAUAACAGGCUGAUACCGCCCAAGAGUUCAUAUCGACGGCGGUGUUUGGCACCUCGAUGUCGGCUCAUCACAUCCUGGGGCUGAAGCCGGUCCCAAGGGUAUGGCUGUUCGCCAUUUAAAGUGGUACGCGAGCUGGGUUUAGAACGUCGUGAGACAGUUCGGUCCCUAUCUGCCGUGGACGUUUGAGAUUUGAGAGGGGCUGCUCCUAGUACGAGAGGACCGGAGUGGACGAACCUCUGGUGUUCCGGUUGUCACGCCAGUGGCAUUGCCGGGUAGCUAUGUUCGGAAAAGAUAACCGCUGAAAGCAUCUAAGCGGGAAACUUGCCUCAAGAUGAGAUCUCACUGGAACCUUGAGUUCCCU
RNAcentral lists this ribosomal RNA (2795 nucleotides) under Pseudomonas syringae pv. maculicola. RNAcentral's name for it is "bacterial LSU rRNA". It matches the Rfam family "Bacterial large subunit ribosomal RNA". Lineage: Bacteria; Pseudomonadati; Pseudomonadota; Gammaproteobacteria; Pseudomonadales; Pseudomonadaceae. The record is from RNAcentral.